AUUGAACGCUGGCGGCAUGCCUUACACAUGCAAGUCGAACGGUAACAGGUCUUCGGAUGCUGACGAGUGGCGAACGGGUGAGUAAUACAUCGGAACGUGCCUAGUAGUGGGGGAUAACUACUCGAAAGAGUGGCUAAUACCGCAUGAGAUCUACGGAUGAAAGCAGGGGAUCGCAAGACCUUGUGCUACUAGAGCGGCCGAUGGCAGAUUAGCUAGUUGGUGGGGUAAAGGCCUACCAAGGCGACGAUCUGUAGCGGGUCUGAGAGGAUGAUCCGCCACACUGGGACUGAGACACGGCCCAGACUCCUACGGGAGGCAGCAGUGGGGAAUUUUGGACAAUGGGCGCAAGCCUGAUCCAGCAAUGCCGCGUGCAGGAAGAAGGCCUUCGGGUUGUAAACUGCUUUUGUACGGAGCGAAAAGGCUCUCUCUAAUACAGGGGGCUGAUGACGGUACCGUAAGAAUAAGCACCGGCUAACUACGUGCCAGCCGCCGCAGUAA
This 498-nucleotide ribosomal RNA is filed under the name uncultured bacterium. RNAcentral's name for it is "partial 16S ribosomal RNA". It matches the Rfam family "Bacterial small subunit ribosomal RNA", at positions 30 to 523 of the family's 1533-position model. The record is from RNAcentral.